CUCUCUCUCUGUACAUGAAGGGAUCAUGAGAGCUCACAGCAAGAUGGCGGCUGCCUACAAGCCAGGAAAAGAGGCCUUGGGGUGAAACUUACCUUGCAGUACCUUGAUCUUGAACUUCUUACCCUCCAAAACUGUGAGGAAUACAUUUCUGUUGUCUAAGCCACCUGGUCUAUGGUACUUGGUUAUAGCAGCUCCUGCAGACUGAUACACUCCAGGUGGUGGGAUUCUGGGACAGCAUUUCUGCAUGAUCUUCAUACAAGGCAGCAACAAGGACCUGUGGGACGACGUUUGUCUGGGAGUGGAGAUGAGGCCCAAUGAGAGUCGGUGGCGUGUCUGAGGCUUACCGGUCCUUGAAGAGCAGGAGCUCCUUCCCCAGCAUUGUCACAGCGUCAAAGGAUGAGCUGGAGUCACAGAGGCAUCCAGGAAAAACUGAGCGAGUUCUUGUGAAACUGAAGUACACUGAAGGUGUUUGCUAUUUAAAGGUAUCUUCUGGUGGAUCGUCUUGGAAAACAUGGACCCAAAUCUUGCGAGAGCUAUCAGUGAGUCUCCUCUCCUGCUCUGCAUCUCUCAGGACUGUGUCCCAGCUCCAGAAGAAUGAGCCUGCACAGCUUGGACUGUCACCUCUGGCAGGUUCCUGCUCUUUGAUGAAGCCUCGUCAUAAUUACAGCUGUGCCAAAAUAUGUGCUUUGCCUCCUGGCUGAGUGACAGUGGCCAUCCGAAGGCAGUGACUUUCCAGGGCACAAGGACCUCCAAAGGUGUUUGAAAGUUCCUCCAUUGAUCUUCUCUCUCCUGCUGCCUUGUCAAGAAGGUGCCUGCUUCCCCUUUGCCUUGCACCAUGAUUCUAAGUUUCCUGAGGCCUCCCCAGCCAUGUAAAACUAGCCUUAUCUUCAACAGCUGCUAAAAUUGAAGAACAAAAAGAAUCUUUGAAACUUCCCUUCAACUGGUCAUCCUCUUCCCUUUUUCUCUCCUUUAAACACUGUUCCAAUUCAUUAUGAUGGCCCCAAAGCAAAGACAGACAUGGAAGUGAACAUUGGAGUGGAAGGAAUGACGGGGAGCAAAGGUCUGCUUUCUUUCUAUCAUUCUUGUAUCAACUCUAAAUUGAAACCCAAAUCACUGAAAUCUAAAAAAUCACAUGAAAGCAAGUCAAUGACUAAAAGAAAAUGAAAUGAGAGAUCCUAUCAGAGAAAUAUGAAAGGGAAAAUACCACUGAUUAAAUAAGUUAUGGGAAAAAUAAAUCAUUACACCAUUAAAUGUAUACGUCGACAUACUGUAUGUUGUUAUGUGCUUAUUGUCUUUCACCAGUAGAAUGUAAGUCCCAUAAGGGUAAGGACUUUAUAUAUUCUUUUCACAGCAGUGUCUCUAGUGCAUGGAACAGUUCCUAGCACAAAAUAAACAGUUGUUGAAUAAGUGAAUGUAUGAAUGAGUGAUUAAUUAAUGAUUAAAGAUAGAAAGAAGAAAAACAAGAUUGUCCUUAGAGGGAUAAAUUUUAAGUCAACCCAUAUAAUGGAUCAAAUGAAGAUGUGUAGCAUCACCCUAAGAAACCAGAACCUUUAUUAAACCCACAUUAUAUGCCAGACAUGUAGCCAAGUACCUUAUGUACAUUUUUCACACAACUUUGUGACACGCUGUUUUUCAAGUGAAGAAAUGGGCUCAUGGAGGAUAAAUGAUUUGUUAACUUCAUAUAGAUAUUAAGGCGACGGCUCCAGGAUUUUCACACAGCUCUGUUAGACAUUGAAGCCUGUGUUCUUAACAG
This 1753-nucleotide long non-coding RNA is filed under the name Homo sapiens (human). Its description in RNAcentral is "HSALNT0364579". The record is from RNAcentral. Lineage: Eukaryota; Metazoa; Chordata; Mammalia; Primates; Hominidae.